Molecule: long non-coding RNA, 2080 nt
Organism: Pogoniulus pusillus (Red-fronted tinkerbird)
Lineage: Eukaryota; Metazoa; Chordata; Aves; Piciformes; Lybiidae
Exons: 2
Source: RefSeq, a predicted model, not a curated record
CCUCUCCCCGACACACAGAUGUCAGUCUUGGAAAAGCCCCCUCAGGUGGGAGUGCCCCAAUUUGAACCAACCUAACUGAAAACAACAGACCAAGAGCUGGGGUAAACUCAGUGCCCCAAGAGCCCCACUUUGGAGCCGGCUGUUACACCUCUCCUCCAGCAGCACCCAGGGCAGCCAUCCCUGCUCAGUCAAGGUCAAGCUCUGCCCAAACUGAUGGGCUGAGACUAAAAAAAAAAGGAGACAACUUCUGUACCUAAACUAAACUCUCCUUUGCUGCCCACCAAAACGCAGAUGGAUUUAAUCCACUUUGGGUUAGUGGAGAUGCUGGUGUGGCACUGAAGUCCCCACGGGCAAUGCCCCCAGUGCCCCGCGCAGUGAAGCUGUUGAACACGAAGUCACCACAGCCUGUCCCCACGAAAAAGCAGCAGAGAAAGUUUUCAGCAUCUCCUAAACCAGCGUCGAAAUGGAUGUCAGGGACACAAGAGGCAGAAAGCAGCCAGUCCGUUUUUGUCACUGGGUCCAGCUGAGAUAUCGGGAGGGACAAACUGGCGCCAGGGAGGAGGAGGAGGAGAAGGGCAGAGCUGCUCCGCGCUCUCAGCGCAAAGCCGCUGGCGAAGAGGUGCUUGCGACAGGCACCUUGGGCCGGAGAAGGCAGGAGGUGGCCGCAGGCUCCCCGGCGCCUCUGAAGGAAGCCUGCCCGCUCGGAGGAGCUCCGCGCUGGGCGUGGGGGAAGAAACUCGAAAGAGAAGGAACUUACUCCGUGAUCCUCUUUGCCAGCUCGGUGCAGGCUGCCGUGGAGUUGGCCGAGAAGACUCGGUAGCCACUUCUGGCCGCGUUCAUCGCCGAAGAGUCAUGCAAGCCCCGCGGAGCUCGAAAACGAGGAGAAACAGAUUUAUAAGGCAACAACAGCUUCCGUGGCAUCCUUUUCUUCCUCCCCGCCUCGAUCGCCGCCCCUCAAGGGGUGGGGAAGAGGAGGAGGAGAGGGAACACUUCGCUACCUAUGGUCGUGCUGGUCCGCUCCGGUGGCAAAGUAUAAAAGGGGGAGGAGGAGGAAAAUAUGAUUAGGGAAAUAAGGUGCUGCUGCCACUGCCGCUGCAGCCUGGAGGGGACGAACGUGUGUGGGGUGCGCUGCGCUGCCUGCAGAGCGCCCCCCCCCGCCCCAGGAGCCAAGCCUGCGGUAGCCCCAACCCAAACCUGCCCCACGCUUACUCAGAGGCACCUCAGGGGAGGGCGAAACUCCAGCGCGAUGGAGGGAACGAGGCAGAGAGGGCGGUCCCUCGGCUGGGGAAGGGGUGCGUGAGCUGAGGCGGGGGAGGCUGGAACGGGAAGUGCUUCCCCGUGAUGCAGCGAGGGUAGAGGGGGUCCCUCUAACCAUACACCCUGGGGCAGGGUGUAUGGUGAUAGUGGGGGUCCCUACGAGAGCGGGGAGCGUCCUCUCCCCCCGCCAAGCCAAGCGAGUUCCGCCACCCGGCUAGAGCGCCGCUGCCCUCCACCGCCAUGCUUCCCCCCGCCCGGAGAGACCGCCCCCGGCGCCAUCUUAGGUGAGGGCAGCGCGGCCGCACCCCCUCCCAAGGAGAGGAAGGCUACCAGCAACUGCCCGAACAGCCCCGGUACCUAAAGAGGAAGCGUGAGAACAGCGUCAGCUCUCCCUCCUCGGUGGAAGUGCACCGCCUGCUCCCUGGGUGCAGUUAACAGCGCAGACAGCUGUUUCCCCGCUGCCCGGCGGUGAGACCCCAGUGAGGCGGCUUCACUGCCCGCACCCAAGAUGACAGCCGCUCCGGCGGAAGCCCCGCGGCGGCGCUCUAGCCGCGCUCGAUGGCAGGCGGGGCCGGUGCCGCCCCGUGCAGUUUAACCCUGCGUCCUCCAGGAGCCCGCAGCGGGCGGGCAGCUCUCUGCGCCGGGGUGCCUCUCGUGGCGGCAGCCCUGAGCAGGUGCCGCUGGAGACAAACUGGUCUGGUUGGCGAUGUCUCUGCUCACGCCAGGGAGGUCGGACGAGAUGACCUUUGAGGGUCCCUUCCAGUUUGUGCCAUCUGCAAAGCUGGUCCCUGCCCCAUUUCCCAAAGGGAACACUCGCUUUCAG